Molecule: long non-coding RNA, 489 nt
Organism: Syzygium oleosum
Lineage: Eukaryota; Viridiplantae; Streptophyta; Magnoliopsida; Myrtales; Myrtaceae
Exons: 3
Source: RefSeq, a predicted model, not a curated record
GAGGCCAGACGAACACAUUGCAAUCAGGUACUCCAGUAAAAAGAUGUGAGCCGUACCCGUGCCCCUAAAUCUUGAUAAUAUGCUCUCUCUGGGGGGGAUGACGACGAGGGUUCUGGUGGCAAGGGCAGGGAUGUUCUUCCUGUGGAGAAUGGUUAUUAUUUUGAACUGAGGUUGCACAAUAUCAAGCACGACAAAUUGUUAAAAGAGGCUUGCCAGAGGCUGACCAGAAGGCUGAAAGCUGAAACUCCUAACAAGGAUGUCCCUCCAAAUUUAUGGUCAUCUAAGCCUCCAAACACUCAGUGGAAGGGACAGGUUAGUUCAUAUGAAUGGCUUGACUGGGUAGGAUAUUUUGGCAAUGUGGAACUACAUCGGACUGAACAGGAGAAGCACCAACCUUUCUCUUUCUCCCUCUUUUUGAGACAAUGCUUGAAGAGUUUUGCAGCCAUGAUUGGUCUCGUCAACAUUGUCUAGUCGCUGCAAAACCGAAAA